Molecule: transfer RNA, 57 nt
Filed under: Loxodonta africana (African savanna elephant)
Lineage: Eukaryota; Metazoa; Chordata; Mammalia; Proboscidea; Elephantidae
Rfam family: tRNA
About the family: Transfer RNA (tRNA) molecules are approximately 80 nucleotides in length.
Source: Rfam by way of RNAcentral
UGGCACAGUGGUAAAGCACUUGGCUGUUAACCAGAAGGCUGGUGGUUUGAAUCCACC